This 122-nucleotide ribosomal RNA is filed under the name Phaethon lepturus (White-tailed tropicbird). The record is from RNAcentral. Lineage: Eukaryota; Metazoa; Chordata; Aves; Phaethontiformes; Phaethontidae.
GCCUAUGGCCAUACCACCCUGAGAAUGCCCGAUCUCGUCUGAUCUCGGAAGCUAAGCAGGGUUGGGCCCAGUUAGUACUUGGAUGGGAGACCGCCUGGGAAUACUGGGUGCUGUAGGCUAAA